This 2992-nucleotide ribosomal RNA is filed under the name Salmonella enterica. Its description in RNAcentral is "23S ribosomal RNA". It matches the Rfam family "Bacterial large subunit ribosomal RNA". RNAcentral also lists the same sequence under 6 other names. Lineage: Bacteria; Pseudomonadati; Pseudomonadota; Gammaproteobacteria; Enterobacterales; Enterobacteriaceae. The record is from RNAcentral.
GGUUAAGCGACUAAGCGUACACGGUGGAUGCCCUGGCAGUCAGAGGCGAUGAAGGGCGUGCUAAUCUGCGAUAAGCGCCGGUAAGGUGAUAUGAACCGUUAUAACCGGCGAUACCCGAAUGGGGAAACCCAGUGUGAUUCGUCACACUAUCAUUAACUGAAUCCAUAGGUUAAUGAGGCGAACCGGGGGAACUGAAACAUCUAAGUACCCCGAGGAAAAGAAAUCAACCGAGAUUCCCCCAGUAGCGGCGAGCGAACGGGGAGGAGCCCAGAGCCUGAAUCAGCAUGUGUGUUAGUGGAAGCGUCUGGAAAGGCGCGCGAUACAGGGUGACAGCCCCGUACACAAAAGCGCAUGUGCUGUGAGCUCGAUGAGUAGGGCGGGACACGUGGUAUCCUGUCUGAAUAUGGGGGGACCAUCCUCCAAGGCUAAAUACUCCUGACUGACCGAUAGUGAACCAGUACCGUGAGGGAAAGGCGAAAAGAACCCCGGCGAGGGGAGUGAAAAAGAACCUGAAACCGUGUACGUACAAGCAGUGGGAGCACAGGUUUACCUGUGUGACUGCGUACCUUUUGUAUAAUGGGUCAGCGACUUAUAUUCUGUAGCAAGGUUAACCGUAUAGGGGAGCCGGAGGGAAACCGAGUCUUAAUUGGGCGUUAAGUUGCAGGGUAUAGACCCGAAACCCGGUGAUCUAGCCAUGGGCAGGUUGAAGGUUGGGUAACACUAACUGGAGGACCGAACCGACUAAUGUUGAAAAAUUAGCGGAUGACCUGUGGCUGGGGGUGAAAGGCCAAUCAAACCGGGAGAUAGCUGGUUCUCCCCGAAAGCUAUUUAGGUAGCGCCUCGUGAAUUCAUCUCCGGGGGUAGAGCACUGUUUCGGCUAGGGGGCCAUCCCGGCUUACCAACCCGAUGCAAACUGCGAAUACCGGAGAAUGUUAUCACGGGAGACACACGGCGGGUGCUAACGUCCGUCGUGAAGAGGGAAACAACCCAGACCGCCAGCUAAGGUCCCAAAGUCAUGGUUAAGUGGGAAACGAUGUGGGAAGGCCCAGACAGCCAGGAUGUUGGCUUAGAAGCAGCCAUCAUUUAAAGAAAGCGUAAUAGCUCACUGGUCGAGUCGGCCUGCGCGGAAGAUGUAACGGGGCUAAACCAUGCACCGAAGCUGCGGCAGCGAACGUAUCACCCAAGACAACUUUACGGAGUUGACGAUUGACGGAGCGAAGCGACGUCAAAGCGUUCAUUAAAGUCGAGUUGGCUUAGGGAUACGUUCGUUGGGUAGGGGAGCGUUCUGUAAGCCUGUGAAGGUGUGUCGUGAGGCAUGCUGGAGGUAUCAGAAGUGCGAAUGCUGACAUAAGUAACGAUAAAGCGGGUGAAAAGCCCGCUCGCCGGAAGACCAAGGGUUCCUGUCCAACGUUAAUCGGGGCAGGGUGAGUCGACCCCUAAGGCGAGGCCGAAAGGCGUAGUCGAUGGGAAACGGGUUAAUAUUCCCGUACUUGGUGUUACUGCGAAGGGGGGACGGAGAAGGCUAUGUUGGCCGGGCGACGGUUGUCCCGGUUUAAGCGUGUAGGUGUGUGUUCCAGGUAAAUCCGGUUCACUUUAACACUGAGGCGUGACGACGAGGCACUACGGUGCUGAAGCAACAAAUGCCCUGCUUCCAGGAAAAGCCUCUAAGCAUCAGGUAACACGAAAUCGUACCCCAAACCGACACAGGUGGUCAGGUAGAGAAUACCAAGGCGCUUGAGAGAACUCGGGUGAAGGAACUAGGCAAAAUGGUGCCGUAACUUCGGGAGAAGGCACGCUGACACGUAGGUGAAGUGAUUUACUCAUGGAGCUGAAGUCAGUCGAAGAUACCAGCUGGCUGCAACUGUUUAUUAAAAACACAGCACUGUGCAAACACGAAAGUGGACGUAUACGGUGUGACGCCUGCCCGGUGCCGGAAGGUUAAUUGAUGGGGUCAGCGCAAGCGAAGCUCCUGAUCGAAGCCCCGGUAAACGGCGGCCGUAACUAUAACGGUCCUAAGGUAGCGAAAUUCCUUGUCGGGUAAGUUCCGACCUGCACGAAUGGCGUAAUGAUGGCCAGGCUGUCUCCACCCGAGACUCAGUGAAAUUGAACUCGCUGUGAAGAUGCAGUGUACCCGCGGCAAGACGGAAAGACCCCGUGAACCUUUACUAUAGCUUGACACUGAACAUUGAGCCUUGAUGUGUAGGAUAGGUGGGAGGCUUUGAAGUGUGGACGCCAGUCUGCAUGGAGCCGACCUUGAAAUACCACCCUUUAAUGUUUGAUGUUCUAACGUGGACCCGUAAUCCGGGUUGCGGACAGUGUCUGGUGGGUAGUUUGACUGGGGCGGUCUCCUCCUAAAGAGUAACGGAGGAGCACGAAGGUUGGCUAAUCCUGGUCGGACAUCAGGAGGUUAGUGCAAUGGCAUAAGCCAGCUUGACUGCGAGCGUGACGGCGCGAGCAGGUGCGAAAGCAGGUCAUAGUGAUCCGGUGGUUCUGAAUGGAAGGGCCAUCGCUCAACGGAUAAAAGGUACUCCGGGGAUAACAGGCUGAUACCGCCCAAGAGUUCAUAUCGACGGCGGUGUUUGGCACCUCGAUGUCGGCUCAUCACAUCCUGGGGCUGAAGUAGGUCCCAAGGGUAUGGCUGUUCGCCAUUUAAAGUGGUACGCGAGCUGGGUUUAGAACGUCGUGAGACAGUUCGGUCCCUAUCUGCCGUGGGCGCUGGAGAACUGAGGGGGGCUGCUCCUAGUACGAGAGGACCGGAGUGGACGCAUCACUGGUGUUCGGGUUGUCAUGCCAAUGGCACUGCCCGGUAGCUAAAUGCGGAAGAGAUAAGUGCUGAAAGCAUCUAAGCACGAAACUUGCCCCGAGAUGAGUUCUCCCUGAGACUUAGAGUCUCCUGAAGGAACGUUGAAGACGACGACGUUGAUAGGCCGGGUGUGUAAGCGCAGCGAUGCGUUGAGCUAACCGGUACUAAUGAACCGUGAGGCUUAACCUU